AGAGAAAGGUGGUCUCAGACAACAGACCAGAAUGGCACCUCGGGGGCUUGGCAGGGUGCAGGCAGGAUCCAGGGAACUACUGGCGUCUGGGAGGAGCCUCUCAGGUUUACACAAAGAGGACUCCCAGUAGGAACAUUUGAAGGUUUUCCUCCUGUGACUGUUGGAACCACCUGGGCGUGCGACUUGUUGUCUGGGUGCGGCUCAUGGAUCAGCAUCUAUUCAAAACCUCCAGGAGUGAGAACCACAGUCUUAGCAACCAGGCCAGGUCUUCUGACCAACUUCACCAACCUGAAGUCAUCGAAGCUCCACUGGGGUUUCUCAGGUCAUACGGACACUGUAGGUGAAGAUACAGGUUGGAUUCAGCUCCAAGAGGACAUGUAUGACAAACUCAAGGCAAGUAAGAGGAUGAGCAGAGGUGGGACCCACAAAGGGGAGUCAGCCACAGGCAUCUCAGGUCAGGCUCAUUCUGAUGGAAAAGUGUUAUCCCACUCAGGGUGACGGAACAAACAGCACCUGUUUAGCACCAGAUGACUUGGGCAGACCGGAAGUCACGGAUUUAUAUCCUUCCAUAGGAGAACUCCUGCGCAAAAUGCAGUGGAUUGUGCAGGAAGAGGAAAGGAAUGGGGCUUGAACACAGGGAGAAACUGAGACCCACUCGAUUUGGUGAGUAACACAAGCCCUGUCAGUGUCAGGAAAGGGGAAGGACCUAAGAGCUAGUGAAAUCUUCAGAAAUCACCUGAGUCUUACUGGAAGACCAGGGGAAGAGUGAGAAACUGACUCAGCUGGUGAUUGACCUGAAAUGAAAGCGGCUCUUAAACCAGCCUGCAUCAGAAUCAUCACCAUGUAAACUAGUUACAUAUUGUGGUGUAAUGGAUUAUUGCAAAACCGAGCAGCCUAAAACAAUAUGCAUUCAUUAUCUCACGUUCCUAUGGGUCAGGAAUCCAGUGCAGCUCAGUUGAGUGCCCCUAGCUCAAGUCUGCAGUCUCAUCUGAAGGCUCAUCUGAAGUCUCAUAAGUCUGCAGUCUCAUCUGAAGGCUCAGCAGGGCUGGGUAGGGAGCCGGCUUUCACGCUUUCUCCCCUGGCUGCCGGCAGCCUUGUUCCUUGUUGUGUGAGUCUCUCUCCAGAGGCUGCCUGAAUGUCCUUGCUACACAGCAGUUAGUGACCUGGUAAAUGGUCAGACGGCAUCCAGGAUGAACAGCAGUCUUUCUAGAACCAGGUUUGGAAGUGCACCUCAUCAUUUCUGCUGUGUUCUAUUCAUCAGAAAGUAGUCACUAAGUCCAGCCCAUUCUUGGGGGAGGGGACUGCACAAGGGCAUGAAUACCAGGACGUGGGGAUCACAGGGUCAAAGAAGGCUGCCUGCCAUACCUUCGUCAGCUAAAACAAAAAACAAACUUGAAAAUAAUUAAAGUUAGUUGUGUUCAGAAGUCUCACUGAGCAAUAGAGAGGUCUACAGCCUGAGAGCAGCCCUUUAGAGAAAUUCUAUUAGACUGCUCCAAAAUAGGGUUUCGCUCACAGCUUCAAUACAAGGUGUGGAGGUUCAGCACAUGCAGAAUCACAUCAGCCUUGCUCAGAAGUUACAUUAAAGCAGAAUCACAUGAAGGUUUGGGUGCAAGAAUCCACCCGGUUACAGACAACAGAAACACCAUCACUAAUCCCAGUGGGCAUUAUCUCAUGUGCAGGAAGAGGCAAGGACCAGGGACAUGUAUCAUUUUCUGUAUGCUUCAAAUUCUAUUUACAAGGGUGUACUUAAUUCUUAAAGGCCAUGAAUAGCCCAAAGAACAACAACAACAACAAAUCCUCCUGAUUCUGAAAAACAAAACAAAAAGAAUCAGCAAUAUUUCCAAAAAAAGCCAUAAAAUCACUUCAGGCCUCCGUUAGUUCGGUCCGUGCGAACAGUCUCUGCUCUGUUCCUGUUGGGUUAGGAACCCAAUCUUUGUGAACACACCAGCCUUUGAAUUAGAGUCCUGGAGGUUUUGUUUCUAGUCCAGUGGCAGGAUCUCCAAAGCUAUCAGAAGUGUGCAUGCAAGAGUCCUCUUCAUGAACUCCCCAAAGAAGCGAGCCCUGGGCAGCAGCUGAUUACAAGCCUGGGUCAUUUAUCUUUCAAGGAAUAUAGUGGCUCGGCCAGAGAUGUGGGGCCCCCGCACUCUCCUCUUUUGUCUGUAAGGCGUCCCUCCAGACAGCUGCAUGCACAUCAUCACAGAUUCAAGGGCUUUCUGAAAUUUCACUGCAAGCAGGCAUGAGCACACACUGCUUUUCACGUUUGCUACUUUGUCUCACACCUUGUGAACUUGCGAACACACACAUUCUUUAGCCAUCGCCCGGGGCUUUCUAAUUCAGCAGGCUGGGGUGGGGCCUAAGGAUUGUCUCCUCUCACAAAAUCUCUGGUGCUGCUGCUGCUGCUGGUGGGAUUCUCUACCUUUAAAAAAUACGCCCAAUCACAGUGAGAAACGGGCCACAGGCACUGCACUGUCACCCACACUAAGGCUGGGGUGUCUCAGUCACUGAGAGCCUCAGACUGAGUCAAGUAAGAAUUUGGGAAAACUGUUUGUAGACUUUAAGAAUUUUAUUGUGGGCUGUGAUUUCUUUAGACUUCAGUGUCUCAGGACUUCAGCUUGCAGGGGAGUUCAGCUUGCAUUUAGUUUUUCCCGGGAAUGAGAUGAUGGGAGUUGGGUGGAAAAUUUAUGGUCAAGUUUCGGGCGUUUCCACACUGGCUUGUGACUGGAGUAAACUGUGGUGUUGUUUAAGUUCAUUGAGGCUUGACUGGAACGCGUGGCUGGAAAUUAUCUGGGACUGGAAAGAGAAGCGGUAGUGAACAUUGGCUUUGGGUAACAUGUGGCUUUCGGAUGAAAAUGUUUUUUAAUAGCUUUACUGACACUUGAUUUUCACAAACCUCGCCCACUUACAGUAUACAAUUCAGUGACUCCAGGUAUACUCAACAUCGUGUAAAUAGAUCCACAAUCUGAUUUUAGAACAUUUUCAUGAUCCCCACAAAGGAGCCUCCUAUUAGCAGACUCUCCGCCUUCCAUCCCCCCAGCCCUGGGCAGCCACUAGUGGACCUUCUGUCUCUAUGCAUUUUUCUGCUCUGGGCAUUUCAUGUAAAUUGAACCGUAUUGUGUGAAUGCUGACUGGCCUCAGCAUGGCUUGCUGGCUUCCUUCACCUAGAACAUUUUCAAGGCUGCUCCGCAUUGUCGCGGGUCAUCAAGUCCUUCCUCACUGUACGCACAUACUAACACUACCUCUUGAUUAUCCAUUCGUCAGUUGAUGGACACUUGAGUUGCUUUCUACUUUUUCUGAUUUUAUGAAUAAGGAUGCUGUAAACUUCCAUGCACACAGUUUGGUGAACUUAAUGUUUUUAUUUGUAGCUGACCUAUAAAUAUGAGCAGAGUUGUUAGGUCAUACGGUAACUCUAGCCUUUUGAAAACUUGCGAAACUGUUUUCCAAACCAGCUGCAGGCACCGUUUUACAUUCCCACCAGCUACGUAUAAAGGUUCCAAUUUGUUAUUUUCUGUAUUUUGAGCACAUCCAUGUCGUGUGAAGUUGCUUCUUACUGUGCUUUUGAUUUGCCUUCCCCUAAUAUCUAAUGGUGCUAAGCAUCUUUUAUAUGUUUAUUGGCCAAUUACAUACCUUCUUUGGAAAAAUGUGUAUUCAAAUCCUUUGGAAUUUUUUAAUGGGGUUGUUUCUUUAACAACUUUGAGUUAUAUAAAGUUUGGUUCUUUUUUUAUUUUUAAUUUGGGCUUUAUUUUUAAUUUUUAUUUAUUUAUUUAUUUUUGAGGCUGAGUUUCACUUUUGUUACCCAGGCUGGAGUGCAAUGGCGUGAUCUUGGCUCACCGCAACCUCCGCCUUCUGGGUUCAAGCAAUUCUCCUGCCUCAGCCUCCAGAGUAGCUGGGAUUACAGGCACACGCUACCAUGCCCAGCUAAUUUUUGUAUUUUUAGUAGAGACGGGGUUUCACCAUGUUGACCAGGAUGGUCUCGAUCUCUUGACCUUGUGAUCCACCCACCUCGGCCUCCCAAAGUGCUGGGAUUAUAGGUGUGAGCCACUGCGCCCUGCCUGGGCUUUCUUUUUUAAAAGAAUUUUUAAUUGGGUUGGCUGUAUUGUUACUGAGUUGUAAGAGUUCUUUUUAUGUUCUGAAUGCAAGUUCUGCCUCAGAUAUGUAAUUUGCAAGAAUUUUUUCCUAUCAUGUGGGUUGUCUUUCCGUGUGUGUGUGUGUGUGUGUGUGUGUGUGUGUGUGUGUGUUUUAAUGGGACAAAUUUAAUUAGCGAGCUUUUCUGGCCUAUUUGAGGAUUUUCUGAGUUCAAAUCAAUUCUGUUUAUGAGAAGUCCCGGGGGAUCCCCAGGAAACUUGGUAUUGGGGAGGUGCUUCAGGAAGGUAGAAAAAGCACAUCCAAGUUGACUGCUCAUUUCAGUCCCAGGGCACAGCUACACCUCUGGCUGACUGGAGCUUAAUGACAACCCGAUUAUAUCACAAGAAAGGAAGUCACAGCGAAUUUCUCCUGUGAACGCGAGUCCAUCGCAGCAUCUUCAGAGGUGGCCUCCAUUUUCAGUCCUAGUGACAUCUGUUGUCCUCACAUUUGUAAGAGUGACCUGCUACUUCUAGGGUCCAGAGGGCAAGUCCUCCACUUUCUGCAAGGCAGUCCUCGAGGUGUUACUUCUGAAACAGUCAAGAAAUGCCAGCGACUUUGGGUCUGAGGACUUACUGAGUUGCUUCUUUCUAUCAGUGAGGACGGCUAGGAGCACAGUGCUGAAAAACCCAACUCAACCAGCCUGGUGGUUGAUUCACAUAACUGAGUUCAGAGCAAGGGCGGGCAUCAGGCUCUGCUUGGUGCAGGGACUCCAACCUUAUAACCCACCUGCUCAUUGCUGUCUGUCUCUUUUUCUGAGAAAUAGGAUCUUGCUCUUUUGCCCAGGAUGGAGCUCAGUAGUGAAAUCAUGGCUCCUUGUAGCCUGAAACUGCAGAGCUCAGGCGAUCCUCCCGUCCCAGCCUCCAGGACACCUGGAAGUGCAUCAGGCCUGGCUUCCUUGCUGCCGUCCCAGCCUCCAGGACACCUGGAAGUGCAUCAGGCCUGGCUUCCUUGC
This is a long non-coding RNA of Callithrix jacchus (white-tufted-ear marmoset), 5074 nucleotides long. NCBI's taxonomy places the organism in Eukaryota, Metazoa, Chordata, Mammalia, Primates, Cebidae. The record is from Ensembl.